Molecule: ribosomal RNA, 116 nt
Filed under: Mogannia sp. CH-2014
Lineage: Eukaryota; Metazoa; Arthropoda; Insecta; Hemiptera; Cicadidae
Description: partial 16S ribosomal RNA
Source: RNAcentral
AAGAAAUAAAAGGUCGAACAGACCUAGAUUCCCAAAUUCUACACCAGGAUCUUUUCUUAAUCCAACAUCGAGGUCGCAAACUAAUUUAUCGAUUAGAACUCUUUAAAUUAAUUACG